UUUCAGACGUGUCACUGCUGGAUGUGAGGAUGGGAGCCACUUUGCUCUGUGAGCUGGGCCUAUUCUUGCUCUGUACGCUCCUCUGCACUGGACACGCUCAAGAUGCUGUGCUAACUAUUGAACCCAACUGGUCCAGUUUUUUCAUUGGAGAGUUUGUUACCUUCAAAUGUGACAUGAAAGAAGGAGACGGUACUGACUGGCAUUACCAAAUCCUUAGGAAUGGUCAGGGAUUUC
This is a long non-coding RNA of Oreochromis aureus, 234 nucleotides long. RefSeq lists it as uncharacterized. The transcript is spliced from 3 exons. NCBI's taxonomy places the organism in Eukaryota, Metazoa, Chordata, Actinopteri, Cichliformes, Cichlidae. The record is from RefSeq and is a predicted model, not a curated record.